This 566-nucleotide ribosomal RNA is filed under the name Kluyveromyces lactis. RNAcentral describes it as "eukaryotic LSU rRNA". It matches the Rfam family "Eukaryotic large subunit ribosomal RNA", at positions 50 to 657 of the family's 3401-position model. Lineage: Eukaryota; Fungi; Ascomycota; Saccharomycetes; Saccharomycetales; Saccharomycetaceae. The record is from RNAcentral.
GCGGAGGAAAAGAAACCAACCGGGAUUGCCUUAGUAACGGCGAGUGAAGCGGCAAAAGCUCAAAUUUGAAAUCUGGCGUCUUCGACGUCCGAGUUGUAAUUUGAAGAAGGCAACUUUGUAGCUGGUCCUUGUCUAUGUUCCUUGGAACAGGACGUCAUAGAGGGUGAGAAUCCCGUGUGGCGAGGAUCCCAGUUAUUUGUAAAGUGCUUUCGACGAGUCGAGUUGUUUGGGAAUGCAGCUCUAAGUGGGUGGUAAAUUCCAUCUAAAGCUAAAUAUUGGCGAGAGACCGAUAGCGAACAAGUACAGUGAUGGAAAGAUGAAAAGAACUUUGAAAAGAGAGUGAAAAAGUACGUGAAAUUGUUGAAAGGGAAGGGCAUUUGAUCAGACAUGGCGUUUGCUUCGGCUUUCGCUGGGCCAGCAUCAGUUUUAGCGGUUGGAUAAAUCCUCGGGAAUGUGGCUCUGCUUCGGUAGAGUGUUAUAGCCCGUGGGAAUACAGCCAGCUGGGACUGAGGAUUGCGACUUUUGUCAAGGAUGCUGGCGUAAUGGUUAAAUGCCGCCCGUCUUGA